This 497-nucleotide ribosomal RNA is filed under the name uncultured bacterium. RNAcentral describes it as "partial 16S ribosomal RNA". It matches the Rfam family "Bacterial small subunit ribosomal RNA", at positions 28 to 507 of the family's 1533-position model. The record is from RNAcentral.
GAUGAACGCUGGCGGCGUGCCUAAUACAUGCAAGUCGAGCGAAAAGACGAGGAGCUUGCUCCUCGCUCGUUAGCCGCGCACGGGUGAGUAACACGUGGAUAACCUACCUAUAUGACUGGUAUAACUUCGGGAAACCGGAUCUAAUACCGUAGAAUAUCUUGAACCGCAUGGUUCAAUGGUGAGAGACGGUUUUGCUGUCACUUCUAGCUGGAUCCCGGCCGCUGUAGCUGGUUGGUAAGUUAACGGCUUACGAAGGCGACGAUGCGUAGCCGACCUGACGGGGUGGUCGGCGACCUUGGAAGUGAGACGCGGUCCAGACUCCUACGGGAGGCAGCAGUAGGGAACCGUAGGCAAUGGGGGGAAGCCUGACGGAGCAACGCCGAGUGAGUGAUGAAGGUCCUCGGAUCGUAAAACUGUGUUAUGAGGGAAAAACAAAUGUGUCAGGAAAUAUGCACGUCUUGACGGUACCUAAUAAGGAAGCACCGGCUAACUACGUG